Molecule: ribosomal RNA, 103 nt
Filed under: Mus pahari (shrew mouse)
Lineage: Eukaryota; Metazoa; Chordata; Mammalia; Rodentia; Muridae
Description: rRNA (MGP_PahariEiJ_G0032743.1)
Source: RNAcentral
GUGUAUGGCUAUACCAUCCUGAAUCCCUGAAUGUGCCUGACUUCCUUUGAAGGCCUGUUUAGUACUUAGAUGGAAGACAAAUAUGACCAUAUUCCUGCAGAAG